Molecule: long non-coding RNA, 201 nt
Filed under: Panax ginseng (ginseng)
Lineage: Eukaryota; Viridiplantae; Streptophyta; Magnoliopsida; Apiales; Araliaceae
Description: long non-coding RNA (PGIN_LNC014917)
Source: RNAcentral
AUUCUUUGAGAAUGAGAAAGAUCCUUUUCAAGUUUGAAUUUGUUCAUUUGGGAUCUGGGUUCUUCUAUAUUUACUUAGUUUACUUAUUUUCUUUUUAUUUCUUUUUAUUGAAUAUUUUUCCCUCUCUUUUUUUAUAUCAUUCCUUAAGUCCCAUAGGUUUGAUCCUUUAGAAUUUGACCCAUUUUCUCAUUGAGCGAAGGG